Camelus dromedarius (Arabian camel) is the source of this 702-nucleotide long non-coding RNA. RefSeq lists it as uncharacterized. The transcript has 3 exons. Lineage: Eukaryota; Metazoa; Chordata; Mammalia; Artiodactyla; Camelidae. The record is from RefSeq and is a predicted model, not a curated record.
GGGGGCCGGGCGGCCGGAGCGGCCCCGCGGUGCUUGGCCGGGGAGUGACCGGCGUGACCCGGGGUGGCAGCAGCCGCCCUCCGCGUCGGUCUGCUGUGAGGCCAAGCGAUGACCACUCCCCUCGCCCCCGCCGCCUCCUUUUUUCCCCAACGGCCCUUGGCAGGGCCUGCCCCGAAGCUGCUGGACAGGGGCUGCCUCUGAGUCCCCUGGAGGCUUUGCUGUUGUCCCCCGAGGAGGUGGACAGGCCUGUGUGCGGCCAGUCCCGGCGUCCUGGUGUUGAACGAAACAUGCCUACCAGGCCCAUCUGUGAAUGACUGUGGGAAGGGCGAAAUUGACACCUCCCCUGGAGAAGCUGACUGGAGCUAGGAAAUGUUUGACAGUACCCCCUCCCCUUUUAGAAUAAAAGAAGGCUGAAUUCUAACUCAGGCAAGAUGAUUCUAUGGGACGCUAGACCACCAUCUUCUCAGUCUGCUGGCUUUCCAAAUAAAGGUGUCUCCUAUGAACCUAACCAGGUGAUGCAUUCUGUAGAUGAACACUCCCGGGGCACACAGCAAGGCAGAGAAAGGUGGAGAGGAUCCAGGAGGCCAAAGGGAGGCUCUUCUACACGUGUGUCUAAUCACCAGCGGUAACCAGAGGACACGGUUUUGUAAAACUGAAGAGUCACAAAAUAGAAAACAUAAAAAUGUAGCUCUUAAAGAAGUG